This 253-nucleotide ribosomal RNA is filed under the name uncultured bacterium. RNAcentral describes it as "partial 16S ribosomal RNA". It matches the Rfam family "Bacterial small subunit ribosomal RNA", at positions 524 to 776 of the family's 1533-position model. The record is from RNAcentral.
UACAGAGGGGGCAAGCGUUGUUCGGAAUUACUGGGCGUAAAGGGCGCGUAGGCGGCCUUCUAAGUCGAACGUGAAAUCCCUCGGCUUAACCGGGGAACUGCGUCCGAUACUGGAUGGCUUGAGUUUGGGAGAGGGACGCGGAAUUCCAGGUGUAGCGGUGAAAUGCGUAGAUAUCUGGAGGAACACCGGUGGCGAAGGCGGCGUCCUGGACCAACACUGACACUGAUGAGCGAAAGCCAGGGGAGCAAACGGG